UAGAAUCACUAAUACAUUUAUAAGUAGUGACCAUGCAAAAAUAUCUUUAAAUUUUGGAUAGUUUCAACUCUGAUUAUUGUCACGGACAAAACAUGCCCAUGAACAUUAGCUGCUUACAGGGUACUUAUAUUUAGGACCCAAAAAAAAAAAAAUUCUAAAAAAAUGUAAUGAAAUAAAAAGGAAGUGGCCAAAUCUGCAAUGAGAAAUCAAGAAGAAUCAUAAUCAACCAACGGCACCAACUUUACACCUUUGAAAAAAAGACACUACAUGGAUAGCUAUGAAAUAGAGCAAAUUAUACAGAUAGCCACUGAACUUUUUAAAAGAUUGAGUUUUAACCAUUCAAUUAUUAAUAGAAUUUUUUUUACAUUAAACUAUUAAAUAUAUAAAUUUUGGAUCAUUCCAUCGUUAACUCUGACAGAUCUAAUAUCUCAUAAAAUCGUGCUUAGAUCUGCCAGAGUUAAUAAUGGAAUCAGACGAAAUGACCCAAAAUUUAUACAUUUAAUAGUUCAAUGAAAAAAAUAAAACACUCUAUUAAUAGUUGAAUGGCUAAAACUCAACUAUUCAAAAAGUUCAGUGGCUAUCUAGAUAAUUUGCUCCUAUAAAAAAUUAUGUUACCCUAUAUUAAUCAGCUCGAAAACAAGAUUAACGGAUCAUUAAGGGAGAAUGAUCCUUCCUACCAAAAACAAAUCGCAACAAUCCAGAAAUCUGUGGGUUAGCUAGUGACCAGAAGUCAUAUAUAAGCGCCUCGUCAAUAACAAUAAAAUCCCGGCACGAUGAGAAAUUCAACGUGCUGAAUCAGUGAAAUUUGGUGGUGGUGAUGAGCUAGCAGAGGCUGAAGCAGAGGUCUUGUCAUGAUCACCCUUGCUAUCUCGGGAGUGAAAUAAACGCAAUGCCUUGGACAUGUUGCUGACGGACUCGGCCAAGUCCCCGACUAUUUUGGCCUUGAUCUGGCCCCUCUUAGGCGGAUGAGCAACCUGUUGUUUCUCCAGCUUGUUGCAUUGUUUCACGUCUUUAGCUCCUUCAUUCUCCAUUUCACCUGAGAAGCUGGUGCAAGAUGGAAUUAGUAGGGAACUUUCAGGGCAGAGUUUUGGGCUAUUAAUCACAAAUUGAGAAAAUGUUGAAUCCUCACAGUACCACAGAUGAAGAAAAAUUGAAGCUUUACGUAAAAGAGGGUGGUCUUUAGCUUUAUAAUAUAGGUGGAAUGCUGAAGAUCUUGGUUUUGUUUGGCGACUGAGCCAACCUUGACAGUAAUGAAGUUGUAAAUUUGAAUGAUCGUAGUGUCAAAUGACAGUGAAGAAGUCAAGAAGAAGAUACGUGGAAGAAGGAAGGAGGGUAGUCGCUCUGCGUGGUGAGGGCGUGACUUGGGAUGGAUCUACCUGGUGUCUCUGGUGUCUAGUGCUCCUCUUCUUCUCGU
This 1414-nucleotide long non-coding RNA is filed under the name Coffea arabica (coffee). RNAcentral describes it as "long non-coding RNA (CARA_LNC006447)". The record is from RNAcentral. Lineage: Eukaryota; Viridiplantae; Streptophyta; Magnoliopsida; Gentianales; Rubiaceae.